ACCAAACCGUUGUGCACACCACACACACAAAACCAUCACUAUCAUCAUCACCAUUCAUGUUGCAAAUUAGAAAUUACAAUCAGUUGAUUAUUCGAACCACAACAAAACAACUCCACAUACACAAUAAUCACCAUCAUCAUUCAAGCUUACAUAUUACAGCCAGUCGAUGGCCGACUGUACCACACCAAACACUCACACCCACACACAGAAGGAGCUCAUGCUGCACUCGGAUUUAUUUUUGUCAUUUGCUCGAAAGCAACCAGAUGAACAGUGCUUUGAUGGACCGAGCAAGGAUGGCCAAAUCAAAUCAAACCAAAACCAAACCAAACCAAAUCAAAUGAAACUGCAAGGGGCGUCACCGCACUAAGGCAAUGAUGAUGUAGGGAACACCACAAACCAAUCAAGCAGCAAGCAGGGCAAGCAACAUAUACACGGCAGGAAAGCUUCAGUUAUGUAGGUCUGCAUGAUGACGCACAUGCAUUCAGGUUGGACGAGCCCGAAGGUUGAUUCACGGGAGAGGUGAAUUACCUGCGGCAUAAUAAACCAACAUUUGGUAGGGAUGAUUAAACAUAUGGACUUUCAAAGGAUACAGUAGAUAAGUUGGUUUUUGUUCUAGAAAAGAGAAGCUAGUGAUUUGUUCAGCACAAAAUUAAGUUUAUUUGCAGAGUAGGAGAGAUGGAGUAAUAUGUGUGUAGCUCACCUGAGUAUGGUGCCUCUGGGCAGCUCGGCCUUGUAGUACAGCGAGUGGCUUGGCUCGUAGAGGGAAGGGUGAUGGUACUUAUUCAACCCGUCCCACUCAAGGUUAUCC
This 808-nucleotide long non-coding RNA is filed under the name Triticum aestivum (bread wheat). RNAcentral's name for it is "long non-coding RNA (TAES_LNC009593)". Lineage: Eukaryota; Viridiplantae; Streptophyta; Magnoliopsida; Poales; Poaceae. The record is from RNAcentral.